AUUCAGUUCCAAGAAGUAACAAGAAUCGAUAAGUGUUCCUUGAAUUGUUAAAUUCGCAUACAACAUCAGCCAAAAUGAAAUUCUUUGCGGUGACAUUUGUGGCCUUUAUGGUAUUUUUGGCGGUUACUUCUGCUCCAAUAGAAGAA
Ctenocephalides felis (cat flea) is the source of this 146-nucleotide long non-coding RNA. RefSeq lists it as uncharacterized. The transcript has 2 exons. The record is from RefSeq and is a predicted model, not a curated record. Lineage: Eukaryota; Metazoa; Arthropoda; Insecta; Siphonaptera; Pulicidae.